UACGUAGGUCCCGAGCGUUGUCCAGAUUUAUUGGGCGUAAAGCGAGCGCAGGUGGUUUAUUAAGUCUGGUGUAAAAGGCAGUGGCUCAACCAUUGUAUGCAUUGGAAACUGGUAGACUUGAGUGCAGGAGAGGAGAGUGGAAUUCCAUGUGUAGCGGUGAAAUGCGUAGAUAUAUGGAGAAACACCGGUGGCGAAAGCGGCUCUCUGGCCUGUAACUGACACUGAGGCUCGAAAGCGUGGGGAGCAAACAGG
RNAcentral lists this ribosomal RNA (252 nucleotides) under uncultured bacterium. RNAcentral's name for it is "partial 16S ribosomal RNA". It matches the Rfam family "Bacterial small subunit ribosomal RNA", at positions 524 to 776 of the family's 1533-position model. The record is from RNAcentral.